GUUCACUGCCGUACAGGUAGCUUAGAAA
Methylomicrobium album BG8 is the source of this 28-nucleotide non-coding RNA. NCBI's taxonomy places the organism in Bacteria, Pseudomonadati, Pseudomonadota, Gammaproteobacteria, Methylococcales, Methylococcaceae. The record is from Rfam.